GCUUAGUACGCGUCUGGGCAUGUCGCGCAUACAGCAAAUACGCAAUAUAUUCACAACAACAACAGCUGCACAUCGUUCUGAUAAACACGCAAUAUAUUCAGCUUGUAUAUCGUUUUGGAAAUAAUCGUCCACAAUGACCUCGACUGUUGGUAUAUGGUUUUGUGUUCUACUUUACAUGUUAAACGUUGCCGCUGUUGUGAGAGGAUCACCUGACGCGCAAUCAUCGUAUCGUACGAGGAACGCUCCUAAAUGGUUCAAAGAGAAGCUGCAACGUUUGAACGCGCAGGAAUCCCUUGGGGAGAUCGAAGAAGUACCUACGUUCUUCCGCAGACGAAAUAAAGAUGGGAAAAUUAUGAAUGCUUUUGAACAAGACACUUGGUUUGAGAUACACGCUAGACACUCAG
Molecule: non-coding RNA, 404 nt
Organism: Paramuricea clavata
Lineage: Eukaryota; Metazoa; Cnidaria; Anthozoa; Malacalcyonacea; Plexauridae
Source: the annotation of a GenBank genome assembly